ACGAACGCUGGCGGCGUGCUUAACACAUGCAAGUCGAGCGGUAAGGCCUCUUCGGGGGUACACGAGCGGCGAACGGGUGAGUAACACGUGGGUGACCUGCCCUCAGCUCUGGGAUAAGCCUGGGAAACUGGGUCUAAUACCGGAUAUGACCACAUGUUGCAUGGUGUGUGGUGGAAAGUUUUUUCGGCUGGGGAUGGGCCCGCGGCCUAUCAGCUUGUUGGUGGGGUGAUGGCCCACCAAGGCGACGACGGGUAGCCGGCCUGAGAGGGCGACCGGCCACACUGGGACUGAGACACGGCCCAGACUCCUACGGGAGGCAGCAGUGGGGAAUAUUGCGCAAUGGGCGGAAGCCUGACGCAGCGACGCCGCGUGGGGGAUGACGGCCUUCGGGUUGUAAACCUCUUUCGACCGGGACGAAGCGUAAGUGACGGUACCGGUAGAAGAAGCACCGGCCAACUACGUG
This 463-nucleotide ribosomal RNA is filed under the name uncultured bacterium. RNAcentral describes it as "partial 16S ribosomal RNA". It matches the Rfam family "Bacterial small subunit ribosomal RNA", at positions 29 to 507 of the family's 1533-position model. The record is from RNAcentral.